RNAcentral lists this ribosomal RNA (584 nucleotides) under Trametes versicolor. Its description in RNAcentral is "LSU rRNA". It matches the Rfam family "Eukaryotic large subunit ribosomal RNA", at positions 66 to 634 of the family's 3401-position model. Lineage: Eukaryota; Fungi; Basidiomycota; Agaricomycetes; Polyporales; Polyporaceae. The record is from RNAcentral.
UAACAAGGAUUCCCCUAGUAACUGCGAGUGAAGCGGGAAAAGCUCAAAUUUAAAAUCUGGCGGUCUUUGGCCGUCCGAGUUGUAGUCUGGAGAAGCGUCUUCCGCGUUGGACCGUGUACAAGUCUCUUGGAACAGAGCGUCAUAGAGGGUGAGAAUCCCGUCUUUGACACGGACUACCAAUGCUUUGUGAUGCGCUCUCAAAGAGUCGCGUUGUUUGGGAAUGCAGCGCAAAAUGGGAGGUGAAUUCCUUCUAAAGCUAAAUAUUGGCGAGAGACCGAUAGCGAACAAGUACCGUGAGGGAAAGAUGAAAAGCACUUUGGAAAGAGAGUUAAACAGUACGUGAAAUUGCUAAAAGGGAAACGCUUGAAGUCAGUCGCGUCGUCCGGAACUCAGCUUUGCUUCGGCUUAGUGCACUUUCCGGUUGACGGGCCAGCAUCGAUUUUGACCGCUGGAAAAGGGCUGGAGGAAUGUGGCACCUUCGGGUGUGUUAUAGCCUUCAGUCGCAUACAGCGGUUGGGAUCGAGGAACGCAGCGCGCCUUAUGGCUGGGGUUCGCCCACAUUCGCGCUUAGGAUGCUGGCAUAA